UCAAAGGGAUAUAGAAACAUCUUUUGCUCAGGACAGCAGAGAAAGCCAAGAAAACAACAGCAUAUUUGUUUUUGCCUGGCUCAUUUAUUGCUUACAGUUUGUCUGUGCAUUUAGGAAGACAAGGUGAAUUUAAAUGCAAAGCAGUAGAGAAAUCCACUGAGAGGAAGAUAAAAGAGUCUGAAGCCAUUACAGACAAGUGGAAUAAUUGAUGGUCAUAAAGCUCAAGUGGAGAAAUGCUUUCUCAGAUGCAAGAGAUUCAACGACUUGGAGUGAGCUGAAAAAUGAAGGGGAAGAGCUGAACCAACCAGAAUUUUACAAAUUCACCUUAUGAUAAUGAAUACCUGCUCCCUUCCUUCUCAAGGAAUCAAUUCAAUUUUUCCAUCCUGAGGGGCAAAGAAAAUGCCAGUCCAAUAGACUGUUAGUGUGGAUUGGCUGAAACUGCAAAGAAAGAAAAAUUGUCUAAGUGCCCACGUGAGAGCAAGAGCAGCUCCCAUUCUGCAUCUUAAUGGCAGCAGAAAAUGCCCAGCAAUUCUGCAGCAGAUUACAGGGUCACAUCUCUCA
Molecule: non-coding RNA, 561 nt
Organism: Sturnus vulgaris (Common starling)
Lineage: Eukaryota; Metazoa; Chordata; Aves; Passeriformes; Sturnidae
Source: RefSeq, a predicted model, not a curated record